CCAAAAAUAAUUUGUUGACCUAAAAUGAGUCACUGUAUAGAUUGUUAGAAUAUUCUGCAGAGGAAGCUGUUUCGGGGAAUAGACUUAAAAUGCAUUGACUGCAUGAAGUGAACAGAACACAGUGACGUUCUUGAUGAUAUGAAGGUUCACAGACGUUCCAGACAGAUGAAGAUGUUCCUCUCUCAGCAGCUCUGGUCCCUGUUUCAGCGUUCUCAGCAGGACUGACUGUGAGUCCCAGCAGAUCUCAGUUCCUUCAAGGAGACUCAGUGUCUCUGAGCUGUGAGGAGGACGGAUGGACAGUUUGGAGGAAGACCAGCAGGAGACAGAGGAGUUCAUGUGAAGACUGGUGGGGAGAACCUGCUGGUUCCUCCUGUAGAAUCAGCUACAUGUUGACCAGUGACAGUGGAGUUUACUGGUGUGAGUCCAGAGAGGGAGCAGCUGGAAGCAGCAUCAACAUCACUGUAGCUGAUACAGUGGUCCUCCAGAGUCCAGUCCUCCCUGUGAUGGAGGGACAGGACGUCCCUCUGGGUUGUAGAACCAGCGCUCCCUCCACCCUCUCAGCUGAGUUCUUUAAAGACGGCGUCUCCAUCGGGACCGAGUCCACAGGUCACAUGACCCUCCGCCAUGUUUCCCGCUCUGCUGAAGGCCUCUACAGGUGUAGCUUCAGAGGUGUUGGAGAGUCUCCACCCAGCUGGAUCUCUGUCUCAGGUGAGGAGGACGAACCUGCUGCAGGUCUGCUGCUGAGAACCUCCUUCAACUGAGACUGAUUUCAGGGAACCACAAGACAGAUCCUCCUCCUGGUUCCUCCUCUGAUCCUCCUCCUGGUUCCUCCUCUGAUCCUCCUCCUGGUUCCUCCUCUGAUCCUCCUCCUGGUUCCUCCUCAGAUCCUCCUCCUGGUUCCUCCUCUGAUCCUCCUGGUUCCUCCUCUGAUCCUCCUCCUGGUUCCUCCUCUGAUCCUCCUCCUGGUUCCUCCUCAGAUCCUCCUGGUUCCUCCUCUGAUCCUCCUCCUGGUUCCUCCUCUGAUCCUCCUCCUGGUUCCUCCUCUGAUCCUCCUCCUGGUUCCUCCUCUGAUCCUCCUCCUGGUUCCUCCUCAGAUCCUCCUGGUUCCUCCUCUGAUCCUCCUCCUGGUUCCUCCUCUGAUCCUCCUGGUUCCUCCUCUGAUCCUCCUCCUGGUUCCUCCUCUGAUCCUCCUCCUGGUUCCUCCUCAGAUCCUCCUGGUUCCUCCUCUGAUCCUCCUCCUGGUUCCUCCUCUGAUCCUCCUCCUGGUUCCUCCUCUGAUCCUCCUCCUGGUUCCUCCUCUGAUCCUCCUCCUGGUUCCUCCUCUGAUCCUCCUCCUGGUUCCUCCUCCCGUCUCCUCCCUGUGUGGAUCUCCCUCUCCUCUCUCGUUGUGGUUCUCCUGCUGGUUCUCCUGCUGGUCCGGUUCUGCAGCAGGAACCCUGAAGGCUCGGCAGCAGAACCUGAAGUCACCUACAGCGACGUCAACAUCCUGCAGCGUCAGCAGCAGCCGGUCAGACGGAGCAGAGAUGUGGAUCCAGUGUUUUCAGAAGUCACUUUCAGACGUUUCUCAAGAAAAUCGUCAAAGAGAAACGAAGCUGAGCGGAGAAGUCAGAGAUUCCUCCAGAGCCUGACGUGGUCUACUCCUCCCUGAGGUGACCCCCCAGUCCAGACCCAUCCGGACCCAGACCUCCACACUGCUGAGUUCUACUGAGUUCUGCUGAGUUCUACUGAGUUCUACUGAGUUCAGACUGGAUUCUCUUGAGUUUUAAUUGAGUUUGAACUGGUUUUUAUUAAGUUUUAUUUGACUUUGAUCAUGUUUUUUUAUUCAUUUUAUUCAGUUUUAACAGGUUUUCAUUGAGUUUUAUUCAGUUUUCUUCUCUGUCGUCUCUCUGGUGGUUAAACAGUCACUCCUCAUAUUAAAAAACCGAAAAUUUUAUUUUAUUCAGUAUAAUUUGCUUUCUUCUGUUUUCUGGAAGUUUUUCACUCUUGCUGCUCAAACUGCUGUGCUUUUUAUUUCUAAUGUUUUCUGACUUUAUUUUCAACCAGUUUCUGUGUUCGACUGGUUUUUGG
This is a long non-coding RNA of Salarias fasciatus (jewelled blenny), 2067 nucleotides long. Lineage: Eukaryota; Metazoa; Chordata; Actinopteri; Blenniiformes; Blenniidae. The record is from Ensembl.